This 665-nucleotide long non-coding RNA is filed under the name Pan troglodytes (chimpanzee). Its description in RNAcentral is "lincRNA". The record is from RNAcentral. Lineage: Eukaryota; Metazoa; Chordata; Mammalia; Primates; Hominidae.
UGUACCUCCCGCCAUUCACCUGCUGAUUUCUUGCUCAUCUGUUUAUUCCUCUGAUCCAACAAGGUCAGGAUGGUAUGCAACCGCCGCCCCCCCCCCCCGCCGCCCCCCCCCCCCGCCGCCCCCACCACCACAGCACUGCCACGACCCUUGUCUGGGACGGAUGAUGUGGGGCUGCACUUCCUCUGUCGGCCCCCUGCCCUCGUGAGGAGGCCCAGCAUGUAGCAGGCAAGCAGCAGGCAGCAGGCAGGUGCUGAGUGGGUGUGGAAGGUGUGGCCCCUCACACCUCUGUGUCCUAUGCUCAGCGCUGUGCUUGGGCAUGGCGAGGCCUCAGCAGAUACUGUGAGCACAGUGACACCAAUGGAACCCAGUAAAGAGAUAGUUUCCAAUUUUCCUCGCUGCUGGGGCCCACCCAGAUCCUGGAGCAGAGCAUGGCCUGCAGGAAGCACAGGCUGGUGGACUGUGGCUGUGUCAUGGCGAGCUUCCAGUGGCUCUCGCAGAACUCAAUUGGCACGGUAAAGGGACAAAUGAAGUUUCCAGCUUUUUUCUUUUAAUAGCUCAGAUAUCAAUUUUAUAGCUUUGAUGGACAUAAUUUAUAAAAUAAGUCUAUCUUACUGUAAAUUUGAGAUGGUUAACCUUUAAUAAAGUUAAGAAAGGGCUUGUCAAAA